AUAUCAAUAAGCGGAGGAAAAGAAACUAACAAGGAUUCCCCUAGUAACUGCGAGUGAAGCGGGAAAAGCUCAAAUUUAAAAUCUGGCAGGCGUCGUCUGUCCGAGUUGUAAUCUAGAGAAGUGUUAUCCGCGCUGGACCGUGUACAAGUCUCCUGGAAUGGAGCGUCACAGAGGGUGAGAAUCCCGUCUAUGACACGGACUACCUGUGCUUUGUGAUGCGCUCUCAAAGAGUCGAGUUGUUUGGGAAUGCAGCUCAAAAUGGGUGGUAAAUUCCAUCUAAAGCUAAAUAUUGGCGAGAGACCGAUAGCGAACAAGUACCGUGAGGGAAAGAUGAAAAGAACUUUGGAAAGAGAGUUAAACAGUACGUGAAAUUGUUGAAAGGGAAACGCUUGAAGUCAGUCGCGUGAUCUUGGAAUCAACCUGGUUUUUCCUGGUGUACUUCCUAGUUUACGGGUCAGCAUCAGUUUUGACCAUUGGAAAAAGGUUGAGGGAAUGUGGCAUCUUCGGAUGUGUUAUAGCCCUUGAUUGUAUACAGUGGUUGGGACUGAGGAACUCAGCACGCCGAAAGGCCGGGGUUCGCCCACGUUCGUGCUUAGGAUGCUGGCAUAAUGGCUUUAAUCGACCCGUCUUGAAACACGGACCAAGGAGUCUAACAUGCCUGCGAGUGUUUGGGUGGAAAACCCGAGCGCGUAAUGAAAGUGAAAGUUGAGAUCUCUGUCGUGGAGAGCAUCGACGCCCGGUCCUGACCUUUUGUGACGGUGCCGCGGUAGAGCAUGUAUGUUGGGACCCGAAAGAUGGUGAACUAUGCCU
This 810-nucleotide ribosomal RNA is filed under the name Resupinatus subapplicatus. RNAcentral's name for it is "partial large subunit ribosomal RNA". It matches the Rfam family "Eukaryotic large subunit ribosomal RNA", at positions 40 to 838 of the family's 3401-position model. The record is from RNAcentral. Lineage: Eukaryota; Fungi; Basidiomycota; Agaricomycetes; Agaricales; Resupinataceae.